AUCAACUAUGGGAGUGAGCUGCCUCUCGCACAGGGGAUUAACUUUGGCUAAGCUCAGAUAGCAUUCAGGUUGUUCGGUCCUCCUUGGAAUAAGUAUCUUUCUUUCUGUCGCCUUCUGAUAUAUUUGCUAUGUUUAGCACUAAAACUUGUGACUUGGAAGAAUUCCAGAUAUGUUUGCCAUGUUUAACUCUACUACUUGUGACCGGAAAGAAUUUUAAGCUAA
Molecule: unclassified non-coding RNA, 222 nt
Filed under: Hevea brasiliensis (rubber tree)
Lineage: Eukaryota; Viridiplantae; Streptophyta; Magnoliopsida; Malpighiales; Euphorbiaceae
Source: RNAcentral